This 550-nucleotide ribosomal RNA is filed under the name uncultured bacterium. RNAcentral describes it as "bacterial SSU rRNA". It matches the Rfam family "Bacterial small subunit ribosomal RNA", at positions 355 to 896 of the family's 1533-position model. The record is from RNAcentral.
UAGGGAAUCUUCGGCAAUGGGGGCAACCCUGACCGAGCAACGCCGCGUGAGUGAAGAAGGUUUUCAGAUCGUAAAGCUCUGUUGUAAGUCAAGAACGAGUGUGAGAGUGGAAAGUUCACACUGUGACGGUAGCUUACCAGAAAGGGACGGCUAACUACGUGCCAGCAGCCGCGGUAAUACGUAGGUCCCGAGCGUUGUCCGGAUUUAUUGGGCGUAAAGCGAGCGCAGGCGGUUUGAUAAGUCUGAAGUUAAAGGCUGUGGCUCAACCAUAGUUCGCUUUGGAAACUGUCAAACUUGAGUGCAGAAGGGGAGAGUGGAAUUCCAUGUGUAGCGGUGAAAUGCGUAGAUAUAUGGAGGAACACCGGUGGCGAAAGCGGCUCUCUGGUCUGUAACUGACGCUGAGGCUCGAAAGCGUGGGGAGCGAACAGGAUUAGAUACCCUGGUAGUCCACGCCGUAAACGAUGAGUGCUAGGUGUUGGAUCCUUUCCGGGAUUCAGUGCCGCAGCUAACGCAUUAAGCACUCCGCCUGGGGAGUACGACCGCAAGGUUG